Molecule: ribosomal RNA, 433 nt
Filed under: Staphylococcus hominis
Lineage: Bacteria; Bacillati; Bacillota; Bacilli; Caryophanales; Staphylococcaceae
Description: bacterial SSU rRNA
Source: RNAcentral
AGAGUUUGAUCCUGGCUCAGGAUGAACGCUGGCGGCGUGCCUAAUACAUGCAAGUCGAGCGAACAGACGAGGAGCUUGCUCCUUUGAYGUUAGCGGCGGAUGGGUGAGUAACACGUAGGUAACCUACCUAUAAGACUGGGAUAACUUCGGGAAACCGGAGCUAAUACCGGAUAAUAUUUCGAACCGCAUGGUUCGAUAGURAAAGAUGGCUUUGCUAUCACUUAUAGAUGGACCUGCGCCGUAUUAGCUAGUUGGUAAGGUAACGGCUUACCAAGGCAACGAUACGUAGCCGACCUGAGAGGGUGAUCGGCCACACUGGAACUGAGACACGGUCCAGACUCCUACGGGAGGCAGCAGUAGGGAAUCUUCCGCAAUGGGCGAAAGCCUGACGGAGCAACGCCGCGUGAGUGAUGAAGGUCUUCGGAUCGUAAAA